CCUGGUACAGUAAUUGCUGAAGAAAAUAUUAAAGAGCCCCCAAUAGCUUCUUGUUUUUACUUUCCACUAAUAGGUUAAAAUACGUAGAAAUUACCCUUCUUAUUUCUGCCCUUCAUUUGAGAACCCCCUGUUCCUUCCAUGUUCUUGAGAACGUUUCUUUUUUAGCCUCAGAGAUUUCCUCCUUGCUGGUAGCCGAACUGGAAUGAAAUGGAUUUAUUUUGAUCUAUUACAAUAAAAAUAGCAAGUGUCAGUUUCUCCAGAAAUGGGGCUGUAUAUUUUGUGCUUUGUCUUCACUAAUAAAGCCAACGAAAAUGGAAAGCUAGAAUAUUUGCAGUUGUCAAAUGCGCCACCGAUGAAUGAUGUGUCUGAAGGCCAAAUGUUGUUUUCAGUUGGUUUUGUGGCAUGUUUGUAGAGAAAAUUAAUUGCUGGAGGAAAAUAAGGCAACAACGCUAAAAAGAUGACAUCCCUUUUGCUAACAAAAUUCCAUUUCCCAUUUUUUCGGGGUGUGUGUGGUUUUGUUUGUUCAAGCUCUGCCUUCAAUAACCUGCCUUCUUUUUAUUAUAAGAAAUGUGCAGAAUAAGUUAAGCUUGAAGGAAAUGGAAGAAUGGUUUAAUCAGCAUGGGCAACUCAGGAAGCAUUUCAGUCUUUGCAGAGAUCGUGAACAGAGCACGAACCAUUCCCCCUGUUUCCCUACCUUUCUCUCUUCCAGCCCUCUUUCCCCUUCUCAGACAAUAUCUUUUCAUGCCCAGUUCAGAUCACCCAUGAUAGAGCUUUCAUUCCAGUGCUCUUCUUACAGAAAUGGAUAAAAUUGCCCUCUUUCCCCUGUUAUAGUCAUGAAUUAAAAACAACAACAACGAAUUACCUCUUAGAGAUGUGUGCAAACAGCCUUUUGGGAAUGUGUGGUUUCAAGCGUCACCCCUGGUAGCAGCUGGCUGGAAUUUUCCACCCAGUUUUCAAACAAAGUAUUGCAAAAUAAUCUGCAUGUACCAACCACAGUCCCCAAAUCACCUCCUCUAGAAGUGUAAGAUUCCUGUUUGGCUGGGGGACGGGGGCUGGGGAAAAGGCAAAAUAGAAAUGUAGCAGCCUCCAUCAAAGGUCUGGGUUUAAAAUUUGUUCUAAAAACCAGGCAUGAGAAGCCAAUUAAAGCCACCUCAAGAUGGGGAGACCCAAAGAAGGCAG
Molecule: long non-coding RNA, 1179 nt
Filed under: Pogona vitticeps (central bearded dragon)
Lineage: Eukaryota; Metazoa; Chordata; Lepidosauria; Squamata; Agamidae
Description: lncRNA (ENSPVIG00000013659.1)
Source: RNAcentral